UUGAUUACUGUAGCUUCUUCCUCCUUGCAAC
RNAcentral lists this non-coding RNA (31 nucleotides) under Rattus norvegicus (Norway rat). Lineage: Eukaryota; Metazoa; Chordata; Mammalia; Rodentia; Muridae. The record is from RNAcentral.